GAUGAACGCUGGCGGCGUGCCUAAUACAUGCAAGUCGAGCGAACGGACGAGAAGCUUGCUUCUCUGAUGUUAGCGGCGGACGGGUGAGUAACACGUGGAUAACCUACCUAUAAGACUGGGAUCACUUCGGGAAACCGGCUCUAAUACCGGAUAAUAUUUUGCACCGCAUGGUUCAAAAGUGAAAGACGGUCUUGCUGUCACUUAUAGAGGGAUCCGCGCUGCAUUGGCUGGUUGUUAAGGUCACAGCUUACCAAGGCAACGAGGCAUAGCCGAGCUGAUAGGGUGAUCGGCCACACGGGAACUGGGACACGCUCCAGACUCCUACGGUAGGCAGCAGUAGGGAAUCUUCCGCAAUGGUCGAAAGCCUUACGGAGCAACGCCGCGUGAGUGAUGAAGGUCUUCGGAUCGUAAAACUCUGUUAUUAGUGAAGAACAGAUGUGUAAGUAACUGUGCACAUCUUGACGGUACCUAAUCAGAAAGCCACGGCUAACUACGUG
RNAcentral lists this ribosomal RNA (497 nucleotides) under uncultured bacterium. Its description in RNAcentral is "partial 16S ribosomal RNA". It matches the Rfam family "Bacterial small subunit ribosomal RNA", at positions 28 to 507 of the family's 1533-position model. The record is from RNAcentral.